GACGAACGCUGGCGGCGUGCUUAACACAUGCAAGUCGAACGGAAAGGCCUUUUCGGAGGUACUCGAGUGGCGAACGGGUGAGUAACACGUGGGUGAUCUGCCCUGCACUCUGGGAUAAGCCUGGGAAACUGGGUCUAAUACCGGAUAGGACCGCACUUUAGUGUGUGUGGUUGAAAGUUUUUUCGGUGUAGGAUGAGCCCGCGGCCUAUCAGCUUGUUGGUGGGGUAAUGGCCUACCAAGGCGGCGACGGGUAGCCGGACUGAGAGGUUGGUCGGCCACAUUGGGACUGAGAUACGGCCCAGACUCCUACGGGAGGCAGCAGUGGGGAAUAUUGCACAAUGGGCGCAAGCCUGAUGCAGCGACGCCGCGUGGGGGAUGACGGCCUUCGGGUUGUAAACUCCGUUCGCCAGGGACGAAGCGUUUUGUGACGGUACCUGGAGAAGAAGCACCGGCUAACUACGUG
RNAcentral lists this ribosomal RNA (463 nucleotides) under uncultured bacterium. Its description in RNAcentral is "partial 16S ribosomal RNA". It matches the Rfam family "Bacterial small subunit ribosomal RNA", at positions 28 to 507 of the family's 1533-position model. The record is from RNAcentral.